AACUACCUCACCACAACGCAAAGUAAAUAGUGCAAAAUCAGGCGUUUUAUGAUUUUGACAUUUUAGUGUAUAAGUGUAUUCCUGAGUCUCUCGGGGGAGCUACUGGGAAUUAGAUAAUGUUUUUAUGACUCUAAAAAAUGACAUCAAAUUUCAUAAUCUCUAAGACUCCAUAUAUAUAGUCCAUGUUGUGCAUUUUAUUACAGCCUCAGUGGCUUAUAUGGCAAGUGUCAGCUGUAAAGAGAAAAUGCACAAAGGCUGGUUUGUGGAAUAGGGGGGUACAACAUGGUAAAACCUUACAGUGCACACAUCAAAGCCCUUGGGACAAACUGUAAUUGCACACGUGGGCCAUGCUGGGACACCAGAAUUCACCCUAAGCUUUUUCUGUUUCAGGAUCAAUUACAAAGCCCUCGCUGAAGGAGGCUUUCUGGCCAGUGCUUGUUACUAGAGGAUAAGUUUGGGUUUUUGUCAAUUCCUGUGUGAAUGACCCAUUAAAUCCAGAGUAACUGGGAGGCCUUGAGUGUCUAUGAGUGACAAACCAGGAGUGAGUACAGAGGGGAAGAAGAACGGGUUGCUGCUCCAAGUGGGCUUCUGAGUAGUCCCACGUGGUCUCUGAGAACAAUGGGUGGAUGCUUACCAGAAUAUGUGAUUUCAUAAAUUAUUGUGCAUAAAACCAGGCCUUUUGUGCUCCUUUGCAAGCUUGCUUGGUGUUAGAAAAGUCGUGGGUCAUGUGCUUGAAUGCUGGGACAAGUCUCUUGGCAUAGUUACCAGCACCUUUCUAGAAAAGGGCAAGUGGUGAUGAAACAGCCACAGGUUCAGAAAACCUCAAAUUGUCACUGAAAUUAAGAGCAAGCCAUGGUCUCUCUUGGGUGACAGUAGGUAUCCAGCAGUCAGGCAUCUCACUGCAUGAUCUGGACGAUAGGGUUAGUCUGUCCAUUUCUGAUGUGGAGCUGGUGUUAGCAGCCUCUGGAGACUUGGCAGUGUGUCAGAGCUGCCAGCCCACUCACACAUGUACAUGAGUACAGGAUGGGGCCCUGAAACUGUGGUGGAUCUGGCUGGGUCCUGCUUAAUCUGAAUUUACAGCUGUUGGCAGACUCAGGUGACACAUCCUCUCCUUAGUGUUUUACCUGUUGGCAUUAAAAAAUUACAAGGAGUGUGAUCUACCAUACGUUUUGCUGAAAGUGGUGAGAUGAUUCACUCUUUCCAUAUUAGGAUAUAAUUUUCUUCAUUUCAGAAACAGACUCAUAGUCUUCAAGCUAUUUAACCAUAAAUCUGGUUUAAUUUUUCUGUGAGCUUUUAUGCUUGUUAUCAGUCUCAAGGUCUUGCAGAAUGGUGAUUUUCCUGAACUAAAGCUCCAUGGAAAGUGAAAUUUUGUUAAUGAAGCAAAAGUGAAAUAAUGAUUUUUACCAUUCCAGGUGCAUGGCUACUCUGACUUCCUUUUCCUUUCAUGUUCCAAGUGCAACAAAUGUACCAACAGCUGGUACUGAGAGAGGCUGAACUGCAUUGCGGCUUCUGUGUUUCAGGAAUGUGACUCCUGUCCUUGACCUCGUCUGCAGAUAAAUACAACAUGCCCCUUACUGCUGAGUGGUUUGGGAAGAAUUUCAGCCAGACAAGAGAGCGGAGAUAGAGGAAAGACAGGCUAUGACAGUAACUGGGCUAUCUAAUUCUGCAAUGUGGAAAUCGCCUUUUCUCAGCUGCCAGUCUCAAAGUCAAGCUUUCAUUGUGCAAAUAAAAUGGGGUAUUCCACCCUCCUCCCCACCCUCAAUUGUCACCAAUAUCUAGCAGACGGAAUAUUCAAAAUGUUUUUCCCUCCAAUACAGAAUGGCUGGUGGGAGUCAUCAGGUCAUGUGAAAAGACAGCUGAGUGCAAUUUUUUCAGCAAGAAACAAAAGAAGAAGGGAGGAUUUAAAAAAUGAUUUUG
Long non-coding RNA from Haliaeetus leucocephalus (bald eagle), 1917 nucleotides. RefSeq lists it as uncharacterized. The transcript is spliced from 3 exons. The record is from RefSeq and is a predicted model, not a curated record. NCBI's taxonomy places the organism in Eukaryota, Metazoa, Chordata, Aves, Accipitriformes, Accipitridae.